Molecule: non-coding RNA, 191 nt
Organism: Acidobacteria bacterium 13_1_40CM_65_14
Lineage: Bacteria; Pseudomonadati; Acidobacteriota
Source: Rfam
GAAGUGGGUGCGAAGCCCACACGGUCCCGCCACUGUAAGCGGCUAGCGACACGUCAGCAGACGUCACUGGGAUGGGACGGUCUAAAGACCGUCCCCUACAACGCGUCGAUAUAAGACGCCGGUAGGCGACGGCCUUCAGGCCGUCGCGACUGGGAAGACAGACGUGCCGCGCUGAUCCGCGAGUCAGGAAA